GUGUCAGCAGCCGCGGUAAUACGAAGGGGGCGAGCGUUAUUCGGAAUCACUGGGCGUAAAGCGUGCGUAGGCGGUCUUGUAAGUUAGGAGUGAAAGCCCAGGGCUUAACCUUGGAAUUGCUCUUAAAACUGCAAGGCUAGAAUCUCGGAGAGGAUAGCGGAAUUUCCAGUGUAGCAGUGAAAUGCGUAGAUAUUGGAAGGAACACCAGUGGCGUAAGCGGCUAUCUGGACGAGUAUUGACGCUGAGGCACGAAAGCGUGGGGAUCAAACAGGAUUAGAUACCCUGGUAGUCC
RNAcentral lists this ribosomal RNA (292 nucleotides) under uncultured bacterium. RNAcentral describes it as "partial 16S ribosomal RNA". It matches the Rfam family "Bacterial small subunit ribosomal RNA", at positions 505 to 796 of the family's 1533-position model. The record is from RNAcentral.